GAUGUUAUUGCAGUGAAGAAGGCAUUUGCUCAUGAAUUACAUUGUCCUGACACAACUGAGGCAUCUAUCCCCUCAACAGGCCUGAAUACCCCAUUUAGAGACUCCACUAUAUUUGGGAAUCAGAACAAUAUUCCAAGAAGAACACUGGAUUUCAGUUCGAGUCCAGUUGAAGAUAGUUCCGCAACCAAUUAUAAUGACAUAGUUUUUAAUGGGAGGAAAAGCUAGACAUCAUGCAUCAGUUUUUAGCAAGUACCGGCUCAAAUAAACGUUUGGGCUCCCAAGUUGCUGCAGCCUUGCAGGUGGUGAUGGUAUAUAGCUUGGCGUGGGAUGAUUUACACCAUUUAGGUGCCUCAGAUUAAGAUACUAAAUCAUGAGUCCGUCAGUGAAUUGUUGAAUUCGUCAAGUUUUAGUUCAGUAGUAAAGGCAAUAUAGUUUGGAAAAGCGCUUAUAUUGUUGCCAUGGGUGUGAUCAAGGAAUUAUUGCUAAGCACCUAAGGAGAAGAAGUUGGGUUUUCAGAUUCCGAGAAAUGAUGCAGACGGUGGGUUUAGAGUUUUUUUUUUUUUUUGUUUUCUUACAGAAUGUGUGGUUAGUUGAAUACCAAUUUUUUUUCUCUGCUCAAGAUAGGACAUGAUAUCUUAAUGUAUUACAGAAAAAAGGUCCAGGCUUGCGGUGUUAAUAGACCAUAUUACGAGUUUAGUUUUAAGUUACUGAUGGUUAUGAAUACAGGCAUGCAUAGUAUACUGUUCCAAUCA
Daucus carota subsp. sativus is the source of this 752-nucleotide long non-coding RNA. RefSeq lists it as uncharacterized. The transcript has 4 exons. The record is from RefSeq and is a predicted model, not a curated record. Lineage: Eukaryota; Viridiplantae; Streptophyta; Magnoliopsida; Apiales; Apiaceae.